AUGAAAUUAAUUAUUAUUGAUUUGGUAGUUAUACUUAUUUUCUUUUAAGAUUUAAAUUUUUAGGUGAAAUUUUAAUUUUAUGGAAAAAAGAUUUUGUAGAUCCUACGAGAUUUAUUUUAAAAACAAGGAUUAGAUACCCUUUUAUUUUAAAUGUAAAUUAAAAUUAGGGUAGUAAUAGUUAUGCUCUUGAAACCCAAAGAAUUUGGCGGUAUUUCAUUCUCUUUAGAGGAACCUGUCCCGUGAUUGAUAUUCCACGAUGGAUAAUUACUUACUUUUGUUUUCAUUUUGUAUACCUCCGUCAUCAGAAUAUUUUUUUAGAAUUAAUGUUCCUUUAAUACAAAAUAAGAUAUGUCAGGUCAAGGUGCAAUUUAUAGGUAAGUGGAGAUGGGUUACAAUAAAAUUAUUUAUACGGAUUAUAUUUAUUAUUAAUAAUAUGAAGGUGGAUUUAAAAGUAAAAUUAUUUCCUUAUUAAUUUGAUUUUGGCUCUGAAAUAUGCACACAUCGCCCGUCGCUCUUAUUUUAAAAUAAGAUAAGUCGUAACAUAGUAGGGGUACCGGAAGGUGUCCCUAGAAAGGAAAAUCAAAUUAGAGCUUGAUAGUAAGCAUUUCAUUUACACUGAA
Molecule: ribosomal RNA, 620 nt
Filed under: Onychothemis testacea
Lineage: Eukaryota; Metazoa; Arthropoda; Insecta; Odonata; Libellulidae
Description: partial 12S ribosomal RNA
Source: RNAcentral